UACGGAGGGUGCAAGCGUUGUCCGGAUUUAUUGGGUUUAAAGGGUGCGUAGGCGGCCCGUUAAGUCAGUGGUGAAAGCCCAUAGCUCAACUAUGGAACUGCCAUUGAUACUGACGGGCUUGAGUACAGACGAGGUAGGCGGAAUUGAAGAUGUAGCGGUGAAAUGCAUAGAUAUCUUCAAGAACACCGAUUGCGUAGGCAGCUUACUAGGCUGUAACUGACGCUGAGGCACGAAAGCGUGGGGAGCGAACAGG
RNAcentral lists this ribosomal RNA (253 nucleotides) under uncultured bacterium. RNAcentral's name for it is "partial 16S ribosomal RNA". It matches the Rfam family "Bacterial small subunit ribosomal RNA", at positions 524 to 776 of the family's 1533-position model. The record is from RNAcentral. RNAcentral also lists the same sequence under 1 other name.